GCGCCUGUAGCUCAGUCGGAUAGAGCAACAGCCUUCUAAGCUGUGGGCCGGGGGUUCGAUUCCCUCCAGGCGCGCCA
This 77-nucleotide transfer RNA is filed under the name Nitrospirota bacterium. RNAcentral's name for it is "Nitrospirae bacterium (groundwater metagenome) tRNA-Arg". It matches the Rfam family "tRNA". From Rfam's summary of the family: Transfer RNA (tRNA) molecules are approximately 80 nucleotides in length. Lineage: Bacteria; Pseudomonadati; Nitrospirota. The record is from RNAcentral.